RNAcentral lists this non-coding RNA (23 nucleotides) under Cricetulus griseus (Chinese hamster). The record is from RNAcentral. Lineage: Eukaryota; Metazoa; Chordata; Mammalia; Rodentia; Cricetidae.
GCAGGCUGCCAUACCAACUUUAG